This 249-nucleotide unclassified non-coding RNA is filed under the name uncultured fungus. RNAcentral describes it as "sequence contains ITS2". Lineage: Eukaryota; Fungi. The record is from RNAcentral.
AACGCACAUUGCGCCCGUUAGUAUUCUGACGGGCAUGCCUGUCCGAGCGUCAUUUAAACCCUUAAGCCCAGCUUAGCGUUGGCGGAUUGCUGCGUCCAGCGCUGCAACCGCCCAAAUCCAUUGGCGGUCCCGCCGCGGCUCCCUUGCGUAGUAACUCACCUCGCACCGGGCCCGGGCGGCGACCCGCCGUAAAACCCCCACUAUAACAAGGUUGACCUCGGAUCAGGUAGGAAUACCCGCUGAACUUAA